UACGUAGGGGGCAAGCGUUGUCCGGAUUUAUUGGGCGUAAAGAGCGUGUAGGCGGCCAAGCAGGUCCGCUGUGAAAACUCGAGGCUCAACCUCGAGACGUCGGUGGAAACCGUUUGGCUAGAGUCCGGAAGAGGGGAGUGGAAUUCCCGGUGUAGCGGUGAAAUGCGCAGAUAUCGGGAAGAACACCCGUGGCGAAGGCGGCUCUCUGGGACGGUACUGACGCUGAGACGCGAAAGCGUGGGGAGCGAUCCGG
Molecule: ribosomal RNA, 253 nt
Filed under: uncultured bacterium
Lineage: Bacteria
Description: partial 16S ribosomal RNA
Rfam family: Bacterial small subunit ribosomal RNA
Source: RNAcentral